RNAcentral lists this ribosomal RNA (494 nucleotides) under uncultured bacterium. Its description in RNAcentral is "partial 16S ribosomal RNA". It matches the Rfam family "Bacterial small subunit ribosomal RNA", at positions 28 to 507 of the family's 1533-position model. The record is from RNAcentral.
GACGAACGCUGGCGGCGUGCUUAACACAUGCAAGUCGAACGGUGAAGCGCCUUCCUUUUUGGUGGGUGUGGAUGAGUGGCGAACGGGUGAGUAACACGUGAGUAACCUGCCCCCUUCUUCUGGAUAACCGCAUGAAAGUGUGGCUAAUACGGGAUAUUCUGGGUCUGUCGCAUGAUGGGUCUGGGGAAGAUAUUGUUUCGGUGGGGGAUGGGCUCGCGGCCUAUCAGCUUGUUGGUGGGGUGAUGGCCUACCAAGGCGGUGACGGGUAGCCGGCCUGAGAGGGUGGACGGGCGCAGUGGGACUGCGACACGGACCCGACUCCUACGGGAGGCAGCAGUGGGGAAUAUUGCACGAUGGGGGGAUGGCUGCUGCCGCGGCGCGGCGUGAGAGAUGGAGUCGUUCGGGUUGUGAACCUCUCUCGCCAGUGAAGCAGGCCUGCCUUGUUUGUGGGUGGGUUGACGGUAGCUGGAAAAGAAGCGCCGGCUAACUACGUG